GCCCGGGUGGCGAAAUCAGGCAUCCGCGGGGCGCUUAAACCGCCCUGGCCGAAAGGCCGUGUGGGUUCGAAUCCCACCCCGGGCA
This 85-nucleotide transfer RNA is filed under the name Actinomycetota bacterium. RNAcentral's name for it is "tRNA-Leu". It matches the Rfam family "tRNA". From Rfam's summary of the family: Transfer RNA (tRNA) molecules are approximately 80 nucleotides in length. Their secondary structure includes four short double-helical elements and three loops (D, anti-codon, and T loops). Further hydrogen bonds mediate the characteristic L-shaped molecular structure. tRNAs have two regions of fundamental functional importance: the anti-codon, which is responsible for specific mRNA codon recognition, and the 3' end, to which the tRNAs corresponding amino acid is attached (by aminoacyl-tRNA synthetases). tRNAs cope with the degeneracy of the genetic code in two manners: having more than one tRNA (with a specific anti-codon) for a particular amino acid; and 'wobble' base-pairing, i.e. permitting non-standard base-pairing at the 3rd anti-codon position. Lineage: Bacteria; Bacillati; Actinomycetota. The record is from RNAcentral.